RNAcentral lists this microRNA precursor (62 nucleotides) under Xenopus laevis (African clawed frog). RNAcentral's name for it is "Xla-Mir-146-P2b_pre stem-loop". Lineage: Eukaryota; Metazoa; Chordata; Amphibia; Anura; Pipidae. The record is from RNAcentral.
UGAGAACUGAAUUCCAUGGACUGUUCCACUCGCAGCCUCAGUCCACAGGGUUCAGUGCUCCA